RNAcentral lists this ribosomal RNA (457 nucleotides) under uncultured bacterium. Its description in RNAcentral is "bacterial SSU rRNA". It matches the Rfam family "Bacterial small subunit ribosomal RNA", at positions 396 to 850 of the family's 1533-position model. The record is from RNAcentral.
GCCGGUGAGUGAAGAAGCCUUCGGGUUGUAAAGCUCUUUUGUCAGGAAGAAACACCGGCUCUAACACAGUCCGGGAAUGACGGUACCUGAAGAAUAAGCACCGGCUAACUACGUGCCAGCAGCCGCGGUAAUACGUAGGGUGCGAGCGUUAAUCGGAAUUACUGGGCGUAAAGCGUGCGCAGGCGGUUAUACAAGACAGGCGUGAAAUCCCCGGGCUUAACCUGGGAAUGGCGCCUGUGACUGUAUGGCUAGAGUGUGUCAGAGGGGGGUAGAAUUCCACGUGUAGCAGUGAAAUGCGUAGAUAUGUGGAGGAAUACCAAUGGCGAAGGCAGCCCCCUGGGAUAACACUGACGCUCAUGCACGAAAGCGUGGGGAGCAAACAGGAUUAGAUACCCUGGUAGUCCACGCCCUAAACGAUGCUGACUAGUUGUACGGGAUUUACAUCCUGAGUAACGUA